AUACGGGGGGUGCAAGCGUUAUUCGGAUUUAUUGGGCGUAAAGGGCGCGUAGGCGGCUUGGAAAGUCAGAUGUGAAAGCCCGGGGCUCAACCCCGGAAGUGCAUUUGAAACUAUCAGGCUUGAGUAUGGGAGAGGGAAGUGGAAUUCCUGGUGUAGAGGUGAAAAUCGUAGAUAUCAGGAGGAACACCGGUGGCGAAGGCGACUUCCUGGACCAAUACUGACGCUGAGGCGCGAAGGCGUGGGGAGCAAACAGGAUUAGAAACCCCAGUAGUCC
This 274-nucleotide ribosomal RNA is filed under the name uncultured bacterium. RNAcentral describes it as "partial 16S ribosomal RNA". It matches the Rfam family "Bacterial small subunit ribosomal RNA", at positions 523 to 796 of the family's 1533-position model. The record is from RNAcentral.